AGAGUUUGAUCCUGGCUCAGGAUGAACGCUAGCUACAGGCUUAACACAUGCAAGUCGAGGGGCAGCAUGGUCUUAGCUUGCUAAGGCUGAUGGCGACCGGCGCACGGGUGAGUAACACGUAUCCAACCGUGCCGUNUACUCUUGGCCAGCCUUCUGAAAAGGAAGAUUAAUCCAGGAUGGGAUCAUGAGUUCACAUGUCCGCAUGAUUAAAGGUAUUUUCCGGUAGACGAUGGGGAUGCGUUCCAUUAGAUAGUAGGCGGGGUAACGGCCCACCUAGUCAACGAUGGAUAGGGGUUCUGAGAGGAAGGUCCCCCACAUUGGAACUGAGACACGGUCCAAACUCCUACGGGAGGCAGCA
This 358-nucleotide ribosomal RNA is filed under the name uncultured bacterium. RNAcentral's name for it is "bacterial SSU rRNA". It matches the Rfam family "Bacterial small subunit ribosomal RNA", at positions 8 to 353 of the family's 1533-position model. The record is from RNAcentral.